GCACUGCUGAAGAGUCCCACAAUACUGGGACGAAACAGCCGUCCAGUGC
Molecule: non-coding RNA, 49 nt
Filed under: Schistosoma margrebowiei
Lineage: Eukaryota; Metazoa; Platyhelminthes; Trematoda; Strigeidida; Schistosomatidae
Source: RNAcentral